UACGUAGGGUGCGAGCGUUAAUCGGAAUUACUGGGCGUAAAGCGUGCGCAGGCGGUCUGUUAAGACCGAUGUGAAAUCCCCGGGCUUAACCUGGGAACUGCAUUGGUGACUGGCAGGCUUUGAGUAUGGCAGAGGGGGGUAGAAUUCCACGUGUAGCAGUGAAAUGCGUAGAGAUGUGGAGGAAUACCGAUGGCGAAGGCAGCCCCCUGGGCCAAUACUGACGCUCAUGCACGAAAGCGUGGGGAGCAAACGGG
This 254-nucleotide ribosomal RNA is filed under the name uncultured bacterium. Its description in RNAcentral is "partial 16S ribosomal RNA". It matches the Rfam family "Bacterial small subunit ribosomal RNA", at positions 524 to 776 of the family's 1533-position model. The record is from RNAcentral.